Molecule: ribosomal RNA, 493 nt
Filed under: uncultured Clostridia bacterium
Lineage: Bacteria; Bacillati; Bacillota; Clostridia
Description: bacterial SSU rRNA
Rfam family: Bacterial small subunit ribosomal RNA
Source: RNAcentral
AGAGUUUGAUCCUGGCUCAGGAUAAAACGCUGCGGCGCACAUAAGACAUGCAAGUCGAACGAACUUAAAUCGAAAGUUUACUUUUGUAAGCGGUUAGUGGCGGACUGGUGAGUAACGCGUAAGUAAUCUGCCUAUCAGAGGGGAAUAACAGUGAGAAAUCAUUGCUAAUACCGCAUAUACUAAUUUUAUCGCAUGAUAGAAUUGGGAAAGGAGCAAUCCGCUGAUAGAUGGGCUUGCGUCUGAUUAGUUAGUUGGUAGGGUAAAGGCCUACCAAGACGAUGAUCAGUAGCCGGACUGAGAGGUUGAACGGCCACAUUGGGACUGAGAUACGGCCCAGACUCCUACGGGAGGCAGCAGUCGGGAAUAUUGCGCAAUGGAGGAAACUCUGACGCAGUGACGCCGCGUAUAGGAAGAAGGUCUUCGGAUUGUAAACUAUUGUCGUUAGGGAAGAGAAAGGACAGUACCUAAGGAGGAAGCUCCGGCUAACUACGUG